This 143-nucleotide ribosomal RNA is filed under the name uncultured eukaryote. RNAcentral's name for it is "partial small subunit ribosomal RNA". It matches the Rfam family "Bacterial small subunit ribosomal RNA", at positions 1383 to 1525 of the family's 1533-position model. The record is from RNAcentral.
GUACACACCGCCCGUCACACCAUGGGAGUGGGUUGCACCAGAAGCCGGUAGUCUAACCUUCGGGAGGGCGCCGACCACGGUGUGAUUCAUGACUGGGGUGAAGUCGUAACAAGGUAUUCGUAGGUGAACCUGCAGAAGGAUCA